RNAcentral lists this ribosomal RNA (460 nucleotides) under uncultured bacterium. RNAcentral's name for it is "partial 16S ribosomal RNA". It matches the Rfam family "Bacterial small subunit ribosomal RNA", at positions 338 to 795 of the family's 1533-position model. The record is from RNAcentral.
CCUACGGGAGGCAGCAGUGAGGAAUAUUGGUCAAUGGACGAGAGUCUGAACCAGCCAAGUAGCGUGAAGGAUGACUGCCCUAUGGGUUGUAAACUUCUUUUAUAUGGGAAUAAACUGUUCCACGUGUGGGGUUUUGUAUGUACCCUAUGAAUAAGGAUCGGCUAACUCCGUGCCAGCAGCCGCGGUAAUACGGAGGAUCCGAGCGUUCUCCGGAUUUAUUGGGUUUAAAGGGAGCGUAGGUGGAUUGUUAAGUCAGGUGUGAAAGGUUGCGGCUCAACCGUAAAAUUGCAGUUGAAACUGGCAGUCUUGAGUACAGUAGAGGUGGGCGGAAUGCGUGGUGUAGCGGUGAAAUGCUUAGAUAUCACGAAGAACUCCGAUUGCGAAGGCAGCUCACUGGACUGCAACUGACACUGAGGCUCGAAAGUGUGGGUAUCAAACAGGAGUAGAUACCCCAGUAGGC